GACAGAGGAAGAGAGAGAGAGAGAGAGAGAGAGAGAGAGAGAGAGAGAGAGAGAGAAUGGGGGGUGGGGAGGAGGAGGAAAAAUUCCAGGAAGAUGGGUGUCUAGGUGAGAACAGCUGAAGGACUGUCCUGCGAAAGAAGGUGGGGUUAUGCGCUGUCUCUCAGCGGGGGCAUUGGGCAGCUGUAUCAGGGCAGUUGCCAGGAGGAAGUUUUCUGCCUAAGUGCACCCAGCGGCGAUGUGGAGAAUAAUUUCUUCAUGACUGGAAGCAAUUCAGAUCAACAGAUCCCGGGUGAGCACUCGUCUACACAUGACACAAAAAGCCCUGCCUUGAAAGGCAGUGGACUGAAUGAUCUUGAGGGUGGAUUCUUUCCAAUUGAAAAGAAAAGAAAAAUCUAUCCAUUCGUUGGUAUUCAUUUAUAGAAGGGCACUGAUGCACGAAGGGCGAAUUUCUCACCUAAGGGCCAAAAGUAAGUUGAUGAUCACACAAAGGAGCUCUUACAGGACCCAGCUGACAAGUCUCUGUAAGCUUUUUAUUGGAGUUUUAAAUGGACCGUGUCCUGUUUCUCCUUUUUGCUUUGGUGACUAACAAGUGGCAUCUGCACAUGAAUGGACGUUUUAAAAGGCUGGCCUCCAUCCCAUAAGCUGUUCUUUUCUUUCCAGCAUAUCCACAACUAACUUGGGGGAUACAAUGGUGUGCUGAGGUGUUGGGUUAGGGAACAAGUGCAAUGACUGGAUUGUCAAUAAUACAAACAUUACAUGGUGAUUUUUUUAGAAAAAUUUAUUUGACAGUCACUGAUGUCUAUGCAUAUAUUUGCCAGCCAAUCAAACCAUAUAAAAUAAUAAAAUAAAUAAUAAGCUGCUUGAAAACUUAAGUACAGUUCGUACAAUGCAAGUAUGUGAUUAAGAGAAAAUAAUCGUAAAAUUGAAAGUUAACAGAUAAUUAGGGCUAAUUUCUAGUCUUCUACCUUAAUAAAUUAUAAUCAUCAUAGAUCUACUCAGAUUCUGUUCAGUAUCCAAAAUGUGGCAUUUUAUCAGUAAUAUAACUUGUAAUGAAAAGGCUGCCAGUUUAAACCAUAAGGUACAAUGCACAAAAUAUAUACUGUCUUUAGAGAUGUACUUCGAAGUUCAAGUAGUUUUAAAUUAUAAAAACAAGAUUUGUAUGCUAUGAAUAUUGGUCAGAGGGUUUGAAAUAUGUCCUUCCUGUUUCUGACUCAAUCAUGUAGAAAGUCAUUGACAAACACAGGAUUCUUCUAUUCAGUUUUCUCACCUAGAAACAAGAUAAUUUGCCAAGUUGAGAAUCCAUCCAGACUUUUUGUUUCUAAGUAUCUAAUUUGAAAGUCAUGUAGAACAUGAAAAAUGAAAACACUUAGAAUUAAGAAUUUAAUUCUGCAAUUGAAAAGACUGCUGAUUUCAAUUUUUAUAGGUGUUUUUGUUUUUUAAGACAUGGUCCCAUAUAGACCAGACUGGCCUCAAACUCACAAUGUGUGUCACUGAAAACAACCUUCACAUUCUGAUCCCCACCUCUACCUCCCACGUGUUGGGUUUUAGGCCUGCCCUACCACUCCUGUUGGUGGUGGGACUCCAACCUAACUCUCAGCCUAGGCAACACUCUACCCGUUGAGUUGUAUCCCCAGCCCACUUUUUCUUAAUAACUUCAAGAUUUUCUCAACCCAAAUCCUUUGUUACUGUAGCAAAUAUGGAGCAAAUUUACAUUUUUGAACUGUGUGUCUCUCUGUCCUAGUGGAAAUACUAAGGACUCUAAAGCAGUAGGUUCUCAGCCUUCCUAGUGCUUCGACCCUUAAAUCCAGUUCCUCAUGUCGUGGUGACCCCCAACCAUAAAAUUAUUUUCAUUGCUACUUCCUAACUGUAAUUUUGCUACUGUUAUGAAUCACAAUGUAUGUAUUUUUAGAGAUAGGGGUUUGCCAAAGGGUCUCAACCCACAGGUUGAGAACUACUGCUCUUAAGGAAAGUACUUCUGGUUUACUUGCUUCCUCUUCCCUCCCAUUUACUUGCCUCCCUUUUCCCCCAAGGAGUAUCAAUAAAUAGCAUCCACGUGGAGAAGAUCGUAGUGGCACAGCGGAGCUUGACUAAGGGAGAAGGGCCUGGAGGGCCAGAAGGAUCUUCAUAGGAAAGUAGAGACUAAACAAGGUCGUGAAUGUGUGGAAGGAGGGGAAGAGACAGACGAAGUCAGAAAAUAUAUCCCUAAUGAGUCAAGGCUAUAUACAUGCACACAGGCAGGCCGUUGGAGUUCAAAGAUGAUUCAGGAAGCAUCCUUCUCAGUGUGCUUUGCCAGAGCCCACCUGGAAGAGAAGGGUGUAUCCAAAAGAAGCAGUGGCCUGGCAUGGCCUGCAUAAUGGGGAAAAAAAAUCCAUGGGUCUGGGAGAGAAAGAGAGACAAUCAGAAUGUGCCUAAACGCAUCCAACUUUCAUCCUGUGAGCCUGAAUGGCCCUGGUCUUUGAUGGAGAAUGGGAAAAGGGUACAUGAACUUUUAUAUUCAUGUAACAAGAGAUCAUUAAUCAGGAUAUUCACCAAAUACCUUUGUGGAAGCAUCAGGUCAUCAGCUACAGCACAGAAUGGAAAUCGUUUCUGCAGGACUCAGAAACUCUCUGCUGUUAUCACCUUUAAGGUUGGAGGAGGCUAGAGGUCUGCUAAGGUUUGAGACGUGCUCCGGGAGUUUCACCUAACAGUCACAAGGAUGUUAGGUCACAUACAGAGGUUUGAAAAUAAAUGACUAUUGAAGAACUGGGCUAGAUCAAGGUAAACUGGGCUCUCAGCCGGCAGCAUUCCACUUCUCCACAAACACGAUGCUCCUACUCAGCCAAGAUCAGUCUGCAGCAACUUCAUUCAACACAAGUAAGGCAUCAUGAGAGGACUUCAGCUCCUCAGUUCAUCCUGUUGACCAAGCACCACACUGGGUGUACACAGACGUCAUAUGUUUAGUGUCCCAUGGAACUGGGAAGGCCCAUCCUUAAGAUCUGAUGAAGAUGAGGAUGGGUAAAAGAGAAGGAUCUUCGGGACAAGGAAAUAGCUGUCAUUAAGGUCAUUAAGGAAGAAGUCUCUGGAUUGCAUUAGUAUUUAUUCUGUUCUCAAUUUUCCUCUUUCUGGGUCCUGAGCAUCUGAUAUUAACACUUACGUGCAACAUAUAUAGGGGUGUGGUGCCUCAAGUUAAAAUAAUGCAAAGCACAGUGUAGCCUAAAGAAAAAAACAAUGACAGGGCAUCCUCACCAGUCAGACACUCCUUCACGUGUGCGCUUUCCAACUCUUCAAACUAACAAUGUAUCUGCCCAUUGUAACUACACCCAUCUGUACUUUACAAAGGAUUUGCUUGCUUAGAUUUGUAUUUGAAAUAACUAUCUUUAAAUUCUAUUUUUUGUCUUCUGGCCAAUUGCACUUUUUGGCUCUAACUUUGUAUGGCAUGACUAAUUACAUUUCUAAGAAAGAUUGAUCCUAACUCUUAUUCAUUGCUAAUUAUUUGAUUUACCAUGCUUCUUUAAUGUUACACCGGAUUCCAGCUGAGGAAAAUAAAUGGUUCAUGACACUACAGAGUUAUCUGUGGACAGUAAUGCGGUUAUCUCUUCACAUUCCUUCUGAACAACAAGACCCUAUCCCAUGUUACAAAUACUUUCAGCAAUAAGAGUGAACACAGAAGUCCAGACAUGUAAGAAAUGUGACUUUCACUAAUUUUUGUGAGCAUAGACAAAUUAUUCUUCUUAAUUCAUAGACGUAUUCAGAAACAAGACUCCAAUAAGUCUUUUGUAAGUAUUACCAUCGACUUUACACUGGAGACUACAUGAAUGUGUUAGCAGUUUCCUAAGUCUAGCCAGCAUAUGUAACUGGGGAACACAUACCCAAGGUAUAGUGUCUUGCUACAAGCAUCCCUUUUCUUUCUAUAAUUGAUGCUUUCCAGAAGACUUCAAC
Peromyscus californicus insignis is the source of this 3918-nucleotide long non-coding RNA. RefSeq lists it as uncharacterized. The record is from RefSeq and is a predicted model, not a curated record. NCBI's taxonomy places the organism in Eukaryota, Metazoa, Chordata, Mammalia, Rodentia, Cricetidae. The transcript has 3 exons.